CGGCAGCCCCGGCCGCCGUCCGACGCGCCGUGUCGCCGCUGCCGGCCCUGCCGCCUGGUGUGUGGCGGCCCCUCUCGCCGGGAGCAGGCCGAGGCCGGCUGCCCACGCUGCGCCGGGCCGGGGCGGGGCGGGGCGGUUUUGCCAUCGGGCGUCGUUCGGGGCGGCCGGCGGGAGCGCCCCGUGAGGGAGCGCCCUGUGAGGGAGCGGCGGAGCGUCAUGGCGGGCCGUGGCUCUGCGUCCUCGGAGCACCUGGAGCGGCUGCACGACAUCUUCCGAGGGCUGCACGGAGACCUACAGGGCGUCCCCGAGCGGCUGCGGGGCAGCGCGGCCGAGGAGAAGAAAAAACUAGUUCGAGAAUUUGAUGAGAAACAGCGCGAAGCAAAUGAAACGCUGCGGGAAAUGGAGGAAGAACUGAAGUAUGCUCCUCUGCCUUUCCGCAACCAAAUGAUGAGCAAAAUCCGGGCAUACAGAAGAGACCUCUCCAUGUUCCAGAGAGAGAUGAGAAGCACAGAUUUGGGAUUGGGCUCUGGGAGUCAAGGCAAUAUAAAAUACGGAAUCUUCUCCACAGAAAAUGAAGAGAGUACUCAUCUGCAGUCACAGAGGGUGCUGCUUCUCCAGGGAACAGACAGCCUGAACCGAGCCAGUCAGAGCAUUGAGCACUCGCACCGAAUUGCUGCUGAAACGGAUCAGAUUGGCACCAAUAUAAUUGAAGAACUUGGGGAGCAGCGGGAGCAACUGGAACGCACCAAGAGCAGAUUGGUGAAUACAAGUGAAAACUUGAGCAAGAGUCGCAAGAUUCUGCGUUCUAUGUCCAGGAGAGUAACCACUAAUAAGUUGUUGCUGUCAAUUAUCAUCAUCCUGGAACUAGCCAUCCUAGGAGGUGUGGUCUACUACAAGUUCUUUCGCAGCAGAUGAACCUUCAUGAGCAGGAUGAACUUUUCCACUGUUGAGGAACCGAUGGGAUGUCUGUUCUCUUUGAGCACCUAAGGAUUGAACUGUCUUAUGAGGCAGACAGCAUGUUGGCUGAAACUGUACUGACACUAGAAAGACAGAGAAUGGGAGUAAAAGGAAAAGGCAGAGACAGACUUGAACUACUGGUAAGAUUAAUAAGAAGAGAUACUUCACUUGAGAGUCUGGUGUCCUGGUUUAAUCAGUCCUUGCUUUUGUUGUACCCUUUUACCUGAGUUGAAUGUUAACGAAUGAAGUUUUUACUCUUCUGCAUUUUCCAGUUUGUUGAGGAGGAAUAAACAGCCCAACUCCACAAGCAAUAGGUAAUUGGCAUCAGUGACUGUAAGGGGGAAUGAUAAGAAACUAGAUAUUCGGAUGUAGAUCACUUAGUGCAUUUAAUGAUAAUGCUAAGUAACUUAACCCAGUACAUCAUACUUAAGUGGAAGAAUAAAAACCAAGGUGUCUCUGUCCUUUUAGGAGAAUCACAAAAAAGUCAUGCAGACUUUGUUGCAAGAACAACAUUAAAGAUGGACAAAUUCAAAGUGGGAAAAAAAAAUUACAAGAAGUUGGGCCUCCACAUUGGGCUACAUCGUACUGAUUUUUAAUGUAGAACUAAAGAGAGCAGGUUUAGGACAGCAAAUGAAGGAUGAUGAGGUCAGUUUUUCAGCUUUGGUAAUUAAGUAGUCGUGGUAUGCAAUUAUAAAAAUCCUUCAGUUGGUAAUACCUACUAAUUUUGCUAGUACUUUAAAUUAACUCAAGUUUCCCUCCUUCCUCUCCCAGCUCUGAAAAUGGCUACAGCUAACACAGCUGUCAAGCAUUAAGGCAGCUUUGUUUCCCUCUUCUCAGUUACAACAUUUGGAUUUGUUUAAAGGCUAACACAUCCGUAGCUCUAAUAAAUGUUACUCUGGGGAAAUGACUUAAAACUUUUCUGCAGUCAUGAAUUCAGAGUAAGGAUAAAUGAAUUGGAGACCACCAGGAAAAAUAAUUCAGGUCUCCCCAUACCAUAAGCUGACCAUAGUGUUAUAAUAUUGUCAGAUACUCUCUAGUGUCAAUGAUUUAGCAGAUUUAAUACUGCCAUUUUUAAUUACACCCCUUCUUUAUUUAAAGAGAAUGGAAUGUAGCAACUUCCUUUGGUAGGCUCUGGUUUUACUUUGUUGCAAUAGAAAACAAGUUGCGAAUAGUACAGGCAAACAGGCAUCAGAAAAAGGUACAGGCAUUUUCAGGGUAAGUUAUUAAUAACAGUUUAUGAGUUUAAUUUGAAUGGCUGUGAGAGCCCUGACACUAAUGCUCAGUUUGAGGAAUGCCAGUUAAAGGCUUAUGUUCAUAAAGAGUUUCUCUUAAAAUUAAUUUUGCUGUUUUAAAGUUUUUUUUAAAAACUCUGAAGUGCCACCUUGCCUUGCAGGAUACCAGGCAGUGCUCCUGCGAAGCUGCCUAGACAAACCAGUAGCAGCUGGCAGCCUGUGAAUGGCCUGUGCAAGCAGCACCGGGGGUUUGUUCUACAGCAACCUGGCCAAAUACUUUUAUUUCAUAGCCAGAUGCUCUACUUUUAUACUUCAUGGUGUCUGCUACAUGGAGACACAAUCCAGUAGAGCAUUGACCAAGCUUAUUAGCCCUGGAUACAUAAGGGCUUCUAAAAAAAGAUGAGAACACCUAAACUGAGGGACUUGAAACAGCCCUGGGGAGUUCUUGGCAGUUGCUGCCACAUCAGUUUACCCUGUAAUGUUGUGCCAGGACAGCUGUUUGUGGGGUCACACAGUGAAUAAGGGCUAGGACAUGAUGAUGUGUGUCAAAAACUAACCAGAGUGCUCCUGAGUCAGUUCUCGUGCAAGCCCACAGAAAGUUACAGCAGCUAAACGGAGUUGCUGGUGUGGGGUCAAGAACAGUCUAAGCAGGUUGUGCUACCAAGAGAAACAUAUGUUGUGCUACUGCCUCCAUCUCAUAGUCUUGUAAUAGGGAAUGAGGAACAAGGAGCCUGGAGAUGCUGGAAGAACAGAACCAGUUAGUAGAAAUGGGCAAUGAAUCAGAUAGGACGCAUGACUACAUUUUAUUUUGCUCUCUUCUUGUAUCCUCAAAGGAGCUGUUGUUUCUCUGUGCUUCUACAAAACAAUCUAGACAGGGAGCCAAGAGCUAACUAGUCUUCCUGAGACUAUUUUGAUGAUUAAGUCUUGUAAGUCAGAGAGAGUGCAUGGUGGGGAGGGGUUGCUCAAAAACCCCUUCACAGCAUGAAUGAAAGCAAAGAAGGAGAUAUGCAGGGCUCACUGCAAAAUAUCUCUUACCCUCUUGCACUGCUAUCCUCUGUGCCCUUUGACACGAUCAAAACCUCCUUGAGAAGCAAAAAGUGCAACCGGUUAGUUUGUUGUUGUGAGGUGUUACACUUGGCAGUAGGACUAGAGUAGCCUUCAGUUUUAGGAUUCAAAAAGAAUCCUUGCAAAGCACUCAGGAAAAAGAGCGACAGUAAAUAUUUUUGUCCCCAUUGUCAACACAGAUGCUCUAGUGGAUGAGUGAGCCAUGUGCGCCUGUUCACACGUAAAGGUUCCCUCCAGCAAGUCAGAUAUGUAGCCAGGCAAGCUAUUGUUGAAGGCACAUUCUACUAUUGCUGUUUAAAAAUUUAUACUGUGGUAGAAGCCGCCUUGCACCAGCAGAGCAGACGUUGGCUUCCUCCCUCUAAGCAGGAGUACAAUAGGGUAAGAAAAACCUCUAAAUGAGUGCACACCUGUUUGCAAAGUGUCAGAUGUUUCUGCGUAGGCUUCCUGACAGCUAGAAUUCAGGUGGGCUUGUACUGAGAUCUCAUAACCAGCACCAUAGCUGACUAACUCACCCCUAAGUAUAGACUACUUGUACUCUUCACUACUGCUGCUGGCCAGAGGCCUGCUCCCCCACUGACCGCAGAAAGCUCCCAGUAUUCUUUUAGUAGCUCUUAAAAAAAAAUUGCUUUUCUGUGCUGCUCAAGAACUGGAGCCCUGCAGACCAGAAAUCAACUAUGUAUAUACAGGAAGCAGAUUAAAUAAUUUUGUCAUACUGACAAAAAAGGAAAGCAACAUAUCUUAUUCUGCCUCUCUCCUCCUUCCUCAGCUAUCAAAAAACUUGACUUUGUUCUGUUCUCACCAAGACAAACUGUUCACCUUGGGUGAGCUCCAAAAGUCACAAAAUUUUCUUUCGCUCUUCCUGUCUCUUCUGCAGAAGUGGGUGGAGUUGCCAAAAAGACAAAAAAAUCACCCCCUUUAACUUAGAGGCAAGAAACUAGAAAUACAGUAGCCUUUUAUAUUAACUGUCUUGUGCCCUGGGGAUAUUUGAAAGAAGCCCCAUUAAUUUUGCAUUAUUUUGGGAAUUCUAGCAUGUUUGUAGAGACCAUACUAGAAUUAUUAGAAAGAAGAAAGUACAUAAAAGCACAAAAUUGACUGCAGGAUGGAAUUAAUGCAAAAGAAUUUGCAGGAGAAAAGAGCUGCUUUACCAGAUGACAGUAAUCUCACUAUGCCAAUAGGUAAGAGCGCAAUGGUAUCUUCAGUAGCCAUAAAGAUGUUAAUAUGUGCUUGGUCUUACUUGGAAGAUACAUACUUCCCCCAACACAACACCCCCAAAAUUUAUCAGGGUGGGGGAUCCUAACAGAAAUGACUAGCAGUGCAAAGUGCCAGAAUAAAAUCGAGUCAGGUUUCCUGCAGCUCUAGCAUCCAUUCUCAACCUGUGGUGGCUGAUCCCACUCUCCAGCCCAAGCUUCAGCAGAAGCAGAUUGUCAUACCUAUGUUCCCACUGCAAAUGGCCCAGUUACUAACGCUGCACAGGCUGUCACUGUUGAGCCUCCAGGGGAUGCUACAGGUACCUGUAUAGGGAGAUACAGGCCGCAGCUAAACCAAGAAGGAUAUGCAGGCCUCGGGUCAACCUCCUGGUUGGCAUCCUGACAGGAGCAAAAAGUGGUCAUGCACAUUCCACGUACCCAGGGGUAAACAGCUCUUUGAUAAUUUGACCUCUUUUCAAGACAAAGACUAUCUCUUCAAAAUCACCCUGAAAGUGGGUACAGGUACUCUUGAUUUGUAAUAUUUACCAGUGGAGCCAACACCAGAGCAGCCAGUUAGGAGAGAUCAGGCAGGAACAGCCCAUCAGGCCCCAAGGUUGUCAAAAGAAGAGCUAAACCAAGCAGAAGUGCGCACGGUGUGCGGGAACCAGCUGUCACUGGAGGUGAGCUGGGCACAGCUUGCACAGGCUCAGCUCAGGGAGGUUCCCUCCUUUGCACACUUGGUGGAAUUGCUGCCAUUGCACAGCCUCCGCACCAGCUCUGCUCCUUACGCAGGAACGGCAGCAUGGUCGGCUGCUACACAGAGCUUGUGUGAACGCUUGCUUUCUGUACAAUGCAUGAGGGUGCUAAUACAAUUAAAAGCUUCUUCUCAUUCUUGUUUCUAAA
This is a non-coding RNA of Phalacrocorax carbo (great cormorant), 5344 nucleotides long. The record is from RefSeq and is a predicted model, not a curated record. Lineage: Eukaryota; Metazoa; Chordata; Aves; Suliformes; Phalacrocoracidae.